AUGUCAUCGGCGAGCUACCGCUGCAGCCGCAGUCGAUGUCAUUGGUGGAUCUACAGCUCUGGAUCUUCAAGUUGUUCCGGCUCCAUCCAGAAACACAAGAUCUCUAUUAAGGGGUUUCUCAAACAACACAAAAGUGACUCCUACGACGACUCCUCUGAAGUGGACAGUUAUUUGGAGUACUGCCCAUGGGACAUACAUUACUUUAAGACUGACAAGUGUUGGAGUUCAUUUGCCAAUAAAUUGAAGAGAAAAAGAAAUGUGACGCAGAAGUUCAUGUUGUAUGUGCAAUCUUCUGAGAUAGAGCAUUAUGACAUUCUGCUCAAAGUUGUAAAUGAUGAUUAUUAUCAACUGGCGACGGUUGUGUUGCCUGGGACAAAAAGCCUGACAAGUGGCUUCUGCUUUGGUGCCCUCGUGGAAGACUUGACAAUGACAGCAAAGGAAAUUGGAGAUUAUCUCACUGGUCAGUUUGGUAAGCAGAUUAGUCCUGGUGAGGCGUGGAGAGCAAAACAGUUUGCUUUGGAGAGGAAAUUUGGUACAUUUUAUGAUUCACACAACUUUGCCCCGAGGUUACUUAAGGAUAUAGCACGUAAAAACCCUGGUAGUUUUGUUGACAUCAAGGAUGCAGAGGUUGCAGGGUGUAAAGAUUUCCGAGUCCUCCAGCGUAUGUUUUGGGCAUUUGGACAGUGCUUACAGGCCUUUCGUACCUGUCGCCCUGUGCUAUGCAUCAAGGCCACACCACUAUGCGGGAAAUAUCAAGGGAUGCUGUUGACUGCUGUAGCAUUAGAUGCUAAUGAUUUCUCCAUUCCAGUAGCAUGUGCUGUCGUCGAGGGCGAGACCAAGGAAAGCUGGUUGUGGUUUCUUAGGAAUUUGGAGCGAGCAGUGGUGCAUCAAUCUGAUGUGUGCAUUAUACACGACUACAAAAAGGAGUUGAUUGAUGCUGUGGAGGACUUUCUGAAUUCCUGUGAGCGACAAUGGUGUAGAGCAGAAAGCCGGUGGUGCAUGGAAGACCUUGCUGAAAACUUCUUUUCGUAUUUUGGCGACAAGAAGCUUGUGAUGAUGUUCAAGAAACUUUGCCAGCAAAAGCGACGCCAUAAAUUUGGUAAAAUCUGGAAGGAGCUUGAUGAGUUGACGUCCACAUAUAUGGCGGAGAAAGAACAUGGUGCUAGUGGGGAAAUGCAGCAGGAAUCAGUCGAGCAUGAAAUGGCGGAACUUGAGGUGCAAAGCCCAUGCAACCAACAUGAUUCAGUGGGGUAUGUGAAGGAAGGAGACAGAAAGAUAACAAAGUUCUCUAACUGGAUCAGUAUGAAACCAAAGGAGAAGUGGUCACUGGCAUAUGAUCAAAAUGGAGCAAGGUAUGGCAUCAUGGGCAGUGAUAUAGCUGAUGUAUAUAAGAACGACCAUGUAUUGAAAGGGAUAACAUGCCUUCCGCUCAGUGCGAUAGUGGAGGUGACAUUCCUGCGCUUGGUAGAGUACUUCAAAAACACAAGUGUUGCAGCAAACAAAGCAAUCGGCAACCCAUCAACUAACUUCCCUGAACGUGUUCAGGUUGACAUGACCUCCGAGAUGCAGAAAUCCGAGACGCACAAACUUAUGUAUAGGUACACCAAUGAAAAAGGUUAUCUCGGUAAUGUAGUGGAUCAAAAAUUUACAGUUAAGGGAAGGAAGAGGGAGGUGACUGUUCACCUGAAGACGGACUAUAACCUCAGUAUGAAUAAGUUGGAAGGAUCCACAAUCGUAAAACUUGCCACCUGUUCAUGCAGCAAGCCGCAGGUACUUCACAAGCCUUGCUCUCAUGUCAUUGCCGUCUGUUGUGAGAUUGGGGUUAGCACUGCUACAUACAUGUCUCCAUACUACAGCCUGCCCUGUCUAGUUCGCGCGUCGAGGCAAAAAUUCAAUAAGUUCUUACAUGACUACAGAGAUAGGGUACCACGCUACUUCAGAGAUACUGUACUAUUUGGAGGCCAAGCACCAAUUUGGAUCCCAGACAAAAGACUGGAGUGUGGCCUUCCUGUUUGUCUACUACCGGACUGCAUGCAAACUGCCGUGAUCGAGGAAGAGCAAUAG
Molecule: ribosomal RNA, 2064 nt
Filed under: Triticum aestivum (bread wheat)
Lineage: Eukaryota; Viridiplantae; Streptophyta; Magnoliopsida; Poales; Poaceae
Description: partial small subunit ribosomal RNA
Source: RNAcentral